UAUUGGUCAAUGGGCUUACGCCUGAACCAGCCAAGUCGCGUGAGGGAAGACUGCCCUAUGGGUUGUAAACCUCUUUUGUCAGGGAGCAAUUGGCGCUACGUGUAGCGUUAUCGAGAGUACCUGAAGAAAAAGCAUCGGCUAACUCAGUGCCAGCCGCCGCGGUAAUACGGAGGAUGCGAGCGUUAUCCGGAUUUAUCGGGUUUAAAGGGUGCGUAGGCGGAAUGCCAAGUCAGCGGUAAAGUCGCGGGGCUCAACCUCGCUCCGCCGUUGAAACUGGCGUUCUUGAGUGGGCGAGAAGUAUGCGGAAUGCGUGGUGUAGCGGUGAAAUGCAUAGAUAUCACGCGGAACUCCGAUUGCGAAGGCAGCAUACCGGCGCCCUACUGACGCUGAGGCACGAAAGCGUGGGUAUCG
This 411-nucleotide ribosomal RNA is filed under the name uncultured bacterium. RNAcentral describes it as "bacterial SSU rRNA". It matches the Rfam family "Bacterial small subunit ribosomal RNA", at positions 362 to 770 of the family's 1533-position model. The record is from RNAcentral.